This 258-nucleotide unclassified non-coding RNA is filed under the name uncultured Actinomycetes bacterium. RNAcentral's name for it is "uncultured actinobacterium contains 16S-23S intergenic spacer region". The record is from RNAcentral. Lineage: Bacteria; Bacillati; Actinomycetota; Actinomycetes.
UCCGAGUUGACCCCGGCAGUCUCCUAUGAGUCCCCACCAUCACCCGCUUUAACUAGCAUGUCAAACCCAGGUAAGGUUCUUCGCGUUGCAUCGAAUUAAGCCACAUGCUCCGCCGCUUGUGCGGGCCCCCGUCAAUUCCUUUGAGUUUUAGCCUUGCGGCCGUACUCCCCAGGCGGAGUGCUUAAUGCGUUAGCUGCGGCACAGAGCGGGUUGAAGACCGCCCCACACCUAGCACUCAACGUUUACGGCUGGGACUAC